RNAcentral lists this ribosomal RNA (210 nucleotides) under uncultured prokaryote. RNAcentral's name for it is "partial 16S ribosomal RNA". It matches the Rfam family "Bacterial small subunit ribosomal RNA", at positions 525 to 734 of the family's 1533-position model. The record is from RNAcentral.
ACGUAGGGGGCAAGCGUUGAUCGGAAUCACUGGGCUUACAGCGCGUGUAGGCGGGGUGGCAGGUCUUCUGUGAAAGCCCCCGGCUCAACCGGGGAAUUGCAGGGGAAACCGCCGCGCUUGAGGAAGGUAGAGGUGACCGGAACGUGCGGUGGAGCGGUGAAAUGCGUAGAUAUCACAAGGAACGCCGGUGGUGAAGGCGGCUCACUGGGC